RNAcentral lists this ribosomal RNA (367 nucleotides) under uncultured bacterium. RNAcentral's name for it is "bacterial SSU rRNA". It matches the Rfam family "Bacterial small subunit ribosomal RNA", at positions 527 to 896 of the family's 1533-position model. The record is from RNAcentral.
GGAGGAUCCAAGCGUUAUCCGGAUUUAUUGGGUUUAAAGGGUGCGUAGGCGGCUUAUUAAGUCAGGGGUGAAAGACGGUGGCUCAACCAUCGCAGUGCCUUUGAUACUGAUGAGCUUGAAUACACUUGAGGUAGGCGGAAUGUGACAAGUAGCGGUGAAAUGCAUAGAUAUGUCACAGAACACCAAUUGCGAAGGCAGCUUACUAAAGUGUGAUUGACGCUGAGGCACGAAAGCGUGGGGAUCAAACAGGAUUAGAUACCCUGGUAGUCCACGCCCUAAACGAUGAAUACUCGAUGUUAGCGAUAUACAGUUAGCGUCUAAGCGAAAGCGUUAAGUAUUCCACCUGGGGAGUACGCCCGCAAGGGUG